This 253-nucleotide ribosomal RNA is filed under the name uncultured bacterium. RNAcentral describes it as "partial 16S ribosomal RNA". It matches the Rfam family "Bacterial small subunit ribosomal RNA", at positions 524 to 776 of the family's 1533-position model. The record is from RNAcentral.
UACAGAGGUCUCAAGCGUUGUUCGGAUUUAUUGGGCGUAAAGCGCGCGUAGGCGGCCCGUUAAGUCGGAUGUGAAAACCCGUGGCUCAACCACGGGCCUGCAUCCGAUACUGGCGGGCUCGAGGCAGGCAGGGGAGAUCGGAAUUCCUGGUGUAGCGGUGAAAUGCGCAGAUAUCAGGAGGAACACCGGUGGCGAAGGCGGAUCUCUGGGCCUGUCCUGACGCUCAGGCGCGAAAGCUAGGGGAGCAAACAGG